AUACGGCUCAGUAACACGUAGUCAACAUGCCCAGGGGACGUGGAUAACCUCGGGAAACUGAGGAUAAACCGCGAUAGGUCACUACUUCUGGAAUGGGUAAUGACCCAAACCUAUAUGGCCCCUGGAUUGGACUGCGGCCGAUCAGGCUGUUGGUGAGGUAAUGGCCCACCAAACCUGUAACCGGUACGGGCUCUGAGAGGAGGAGCCCGGAGAUGGGCACUGAGACAAGGGCCCAGGCCCUAUGGGGCGCAGCAGGCGCGAAACCUCUGCAAUAGGCGAAAGCUUGACAGGGUUACUCUGAGUGAUUUCCGUUAAGGAGAUCUUUUGGCACCUCUAAAAAUGGUGCAGAAUAAGGGGUGGGCAAGUCUGGUGUCAGCCGCCGCGGUAAUACCAGCACCCCGAGUGGUCGGGACGUUUAUUGGGCCUAAAGCAUCCGUAGCCGGUUCUACAAGUCUUCCGUUAAAUCCACCUGCUCAACAGAUGGGCUGCGGAAGAUACUAUGGAGCUAGGAGGCGGGAGAGGCAAGCGGUACUCGAUGGGUAGGGGUAAAAUCCGUUGAUCCAUUGAAGACCACCAGUGGCGAAGGCGGCUUGCCAGAACGCGCUCGACGGUGAGGGAUGAAAGCUGGGGGAGCAAACCGGAUUAGAUACCCGGGUAGUCCC
RNAcentral lists this ribosomal RNA (662 nucleotides) under uncultured Nitrososphaerota archaeon. RNAcentral describes it as "bacterial SSU rRNA". It matches the Rfam family "Archaeal small subunit ribosomal RNA", at positions 83 to 748 of the family's 1478-position model. Lineage: Archaea; Thermoproteati; Nitrososphaerota. The record is from RNAcentral.